Carassius auratus (goldfish) is the source of this 2474-nucleotide long non-coding RNA. Lineage: Eukaryota; Metazoa; Chordata; Actinopteri; Cypriniformes; Cyprinidae. The record is from Ensembl.
AGAGGAGGAGAGAGAGUGGAUAACGCGAGGAGAAAUAGAGCGAAACCUGUACUUACAGUACGCUGUGUCCAGCCCAGAGGUGAGAGCCAUUCAAAGCAAACUAACUGUGCUAUUGUGCCCAAGUUGAUACCUGUGGAGAGAAAAGGAGAGAGAGUGGAUAACGCGAGGAGAAAUAGAGCGAAACCUGUACUUACAGUACGCUGUGUCCAGCCCAGAGGUGAGAGCCAUUCAAAGCAAACUAACUGUGCUAUUGUGCCCAAGUUGAUACCUGUGGAGAGAAAAGGAGAGAGAGUGGAUAACGCGAGGAGAAAUAGAGCGAAACCUGUACUUACAGUACGCUGUGUCCAGCCCAGAGGUGAGAGUCAUUCAAAGCAAACUAACUGUGCUAUUGUGCCCAAGUUGAUACCUGUGGAGAGAAAAGGAGAGAGAGUGAAUAACACGAGGAGGAAUAGAGCGAACCCUGUACUUACAGUACGUUGUGUCCAGCCCAGAAGUGAAAGCCAUCCAAAGCAGAGUAACUGUGUUUUGUGUCCAAGUUGAUACCUGUAGAGAGGAGGAGAGAGAGUGGAUAACGCGAGGAGAAAUAGAGCGAAACCUGUACUUACAGUACGCUGUGUCCAGCCCAGAGGUGAGAGCCAUUCAAAGCAAACUAACUGUGCUAUUGUGCCCAAGUUGAUACCUGUGGAGAGAAAAGGAGAGAGAGUGGAUAACGCGAGGAGAAAUAGAGCGAAACCUGUACUUACAGUACGCUGUGUCCAGCCCAGAGGUGAGAGCCAUUCAAAGUAAACUAACUGUGCUAUUGUGCCCAAGUUGAUACCUGUGGAGAGAAAAGGAGAGAGAGUGGAUAACGCGAGGAGAAAUAGAGCGAAACCUGUACUUACAGUACGCUGUGUCCAGCCCAGAGGUGAGAGCCAUUCAAAGCAAACUAACUGUGCUAUUGUGCCCAAGUUGAUACCUGUGGAGAGAAAAGGAGAGAGAGUGGAUAACGCGAGGAGAAAUAGAGCGAAACCUGUACUUACAGUACGCUGUGUCCAGCCCAGAGGUGAGAGCCAUUCAAAGCAAACUAACUGUGCUAUUGUGCCCAAGUUGAUACCUGUGGAGAGAAAAGGAGAGAGAGUGGGUAACACGAGGAGAGACCGAGGAAACCUGUACUUACGCCGCUGCCUGUGGAGAAAGAGAAAGCGAGUGAGCACCCAAGGAACGAACUGUGUGAACCAGUACUUCCUGUGAGCUGCAAUCAGCAAAGAGGUGAGAGCAAAACCAAGCCGAAUUAACUGUGCCUUUGCGUCCCAGCCGUUGCCUGUGGAGGAAGAGAAAGAGAGUGAGCACCCCGAGAACGAACUGUGUGAACCAGUACUUACCGUGAGUUGUAUUCAGCGAAGAGGAGGAAGAAGGAGGGCGCUACGGAUACCCAAGACUCUGGCCGGGCCCCGAGUCCCACGCCCCGGAUCCCCGUGGCCCCCUUGCUCCCUGACCUCUUCCCGGCCAUAGGCCAUCUGGAGGGCCGAGUCAGAGUUUAGUUUUAAUUGCCCUUUCCCUAUUCCCCAAGCUAUUUUUAAAUAUUUAAAUAAAGAUUGUUUUAUCACUUACUUGUUCUCGUGUUGUUUGGCCAUUGGGUUGGCUUUGGGGACCUCCUCGAGGUGGAAGUUGAGAAGGGGUGUGGCUUAGUCAAAGCAUAGCCGCCCCUGGGUGUGACAUAUUCAUGUUAUUUAAGGUGAUGUGCAAGGUUCUUCCAUCCACGAUAACCAUGGGUGCUUAGAGUGUUAUGUCUAAAUACAGCAUCAGUGCUCACAGAAUACAGAAGCCAUGACCUCUGGAUUUUUUUUUUUUUUUGAACUUGCCUUUUGUGAACAUUCUCAUUGGAACUUUUGAAAGUGUUUUUAGGAAAAUCAAAGUCCACAAUUUUAACUCGUCCAUUUCUAACAAUUUGACAACGAGUUUCAUCAUUUAUUAUGUCUGGCCACAACCUAGGAUCAACGCUGAGGGUUGCAGUAAGUGCAGCCUCUUCAGAUUCAGGAGGAGUAGAGGUAUCUUUUGCUGGAGAAGUAGAGGAGCUUUCUUCGGCUGGAGUGGUGGAGGUGGAGGUGGAGGUAGUAAGAAGAAGUGGGGGCGCAAUCAGUCUCAAACUGAAAUGAUGAUUGACUGCUCCUGGCUGGGUCUCGAGAGUUGACAUCUGAAGGUCCAUCACAGCCUAAAAGAAAUGUAUUAUUUAUUAUUACUAUUAUACAAAUUUUAAUUAAAAAUAAUUAUUUGAGAUCUAACACAUAUCUUCAGCUUGUGAAGAGGUGCCAUUAUCAAUUGGCACAGACAGAAAUUUAAGCAAAGCACCUAAAAAAACAUCUGGUGAAUAGCCAUACGUUUAUUGUUAUUCUCAUAGCAUAUCAUGAAAGUAAAGUGUGGAGGAUUCGAUAUUUACUUUAAAAGAAAAGAACUCCACUUCCCACAAUGCCACCGACAGUAACGUCAGACGCAAA